Molecule: ribosomal RNA, 190 nt
Filed under: uncultured fungus
Lineage: Eukaryota; Fungi
Description: partial 18S ribosomal RNA
Rfam family: Eukaryotic small subunit ribosomal RNA
Source: RNAcentral
UAGUAUUCAAUUGUCAGGGGUGAAAUUCUUGGAUUUAUUGAAGACUAACUACUGCGAAAGCAUUUGCCAAGGAUGUUUUCAUUAAUCAAGAACGAAAGUUAGGGGAUCGAAGACGAUCAGAUACCGUCGUAGUCUUAACCAUAAACUAUGCCGACUAGGGAUCGGAUGAUGUUAAUUUUUUAAUGACUCA